AGUCUUAAAAAGCUCAUGUAAAAUAUGCAAGAGCAAAAGAAUGAUUGGGUGUCCAUAUAACUAAACAUAGUUACAUUUGGCCAAUAAUCGUUCGGACA
Molecule: small nucleolar RNA, 98 nt
Filed under: Drosophila virilis
Lineage: Eukaryota; Metazoa; Arthropoda; Insecta; Diptera; Drosophilidae
Description: snoRNA:GJ25527
Source: RNAcentral